This is a long non-coding RNA of Podarcis raffonei (Aeolian wall lizard), 567 nucleotides long. RefSeq lists it as uncharacterized. NCBI's taxonomy places the organism in Eukaryota, Metazoa, Chordata, Lepidosauria, Squamata, Lacertidae. The record is from RefSeq and is a predicted model, not a curated record. The transcript is spliced from 5 exons.
GAACUUCACUUGAUCUCGAAUGCCCUCCUGCCACCAGAGAGAAGAAAUAGAGAAGAAGAAAUCCAUGACCUUUUUGAACGGGACAGCCUACAUAAUGACGAUCACAUCCCCCCUACAGUACUGAAGAAGGCCCCAACAUAGCACUCAUACUGGAAAAUGAAGAAUCAGAACUGACCUGAGACCUUAAAAGAGAAGGUGGUUCAUUUUCUUAAGGCUGCUUAGUAAAUAUCUCAGGAAGUCUGUCUUACAAUGCACUCUUAUUAAAGUCUACUCAGAAAUGAGAUGUCUUACCUUUGCGGAGGAUUAUAUAAGUACGCUUACAAAUUGCGAUGGAGAAUUUAAAGGUGUGGACAACUUCCACAGAUGCCUUGUCUGGAGAUGUUUGGCACCAAGGUCUCUGUUUCCUUCAUUUGCUUCCAUUCAGAUCAAUUGUACUUAAGGAGUUUUAUGUGUGGUUCACAAUCACUUCAGCCACUGUAUGUGCUUUUAAACCAGCUCAAAUCUCUGGGGUGGAACACCCCAGAGAUGUAGUUCAAAGCUAGAAUACACUUUGCAGUUGUCAUGGAG